This 500-nucleotide ribosomal RNA is filed under the name uncultured bacterium. Its description in RNAcentral is "partial 16S ribosomal RNA". It matches the Rfam family "Bacterial small subunit ribosomal RNA", at positions 30 to 523 of the family's 1533-position model. The record is from RNAcentral.
AUUGAACGCUGGCGGCAUGCCUUACACAUGCAAGUCGAACGGCAGCACGGAAGCAAUCCUGGUGGCGAGUGGCGAACGGGUGAGUAAUGUAUCGGAACGUGCCCAGUCGUGGGGGAUAACGCAGCGAAAGCUGUGCUAAUACCGCAUACGAUCUAUGGAUGAAAGCGGGGGAUCGCAAGACCUCGCGCGAUUGGAGCGGCCGAUAUCAGAUUAGGUAGUUGGUGGGGUAAAGGCCCACCAAGCCUGCGAUCUGUAGCUGGUCUGAGAGGACGAUCAGCCACACUGGGACUGAGACACGGCCCAGACUCCUACGGGAGGCAGCAGUGGGGAAUUUUGGACAAUGGGCGCAAGCCUGAUCCAGCAAUGCCGCGUGCAGGAUGAAGGCCUUCGGGUUGUAAACUGCUUUUGUACGAGAUGAAAAGACUCGCUCUAAUACAGUGGGUACAUGACGGUAUCGUAAGAAUAAGCACCGGCUAACUACGUGCCAGCAGCCGCCGUAA